GUACACUCCUACGGGAGGCAGCAGUGGGGAAUAUUGGACAAUGGGCGCAAGCCUGAUCCAGCCAUGCCGCGUGAGUGAUGAAGGCCCUAGGGUUGUAAAGCUCUUUCACCGGUGAAGAUAAUGACGGUAACCGGAGAAGAAGCCCCGGCUAACUUCGUGCCAGCAGCCGCGGUAAUACGAAGGGGGCUAGCGUUGUUCGGAUUUACUGGGCGUAAAGCGCACGUAGGCGGGCUAUUAAGUCAGGGGUGAAAUCCCGGGGCUCAACCCCGGAACUGCCUUUGAUACUGGUAGUCUUGAGUUCGAGAGAGGUGAGUGGAAUUCCGAGUGUAGAGGUGAAAUUCGUAGAUAUUCGGAGGAACACCAGUGGCGAAGGCGGCUCACUGGCUCGAUACUGACGCUGAGGUGCGAAAGCGUGGGGAGCAAACAGGAUUAGAUACCCGAGUAGUCCCAUG
RNAcentral lists this ribosomal RNA (452 nucleotides) under uncultured organism. RNAcentral's name for it is "partial 16S ribosomal RNA". It matches the Rfam family "Bacterial small subunit ribosomal RNA", at positions 331 to 799 of the family's 1533-position model. The record is from RNAcentral.